This 440-nucleotide ribosomal RNA is filed under the name uncultured bacterium. RNAcentral describes it as "partial 16S ribosomal RNA". It matches the Rfam family "Bacterial small subunit ribosomal RNA", at positions 338 to 795 of the family's 1533-position model. The record is from RNAcentral.
CCUACGGGUGGCUGCAGUGGGGAAUAUUGCACAAUGGGGGAAACCCUGAUGCAGCGACGCCGCGUGAGUGAGGAAGUAUUUCGGUAUGUAAAGCUCUAUCAGCAGGGAAGAAAAUGACGGUACCUGACCACGACUCCCCGGCCAAAUACGUGCCAGCAGCCGCGGUAAUACGCAGGGGGCAAGCGUUAUCCGGAUUUACGGGGUGUAAAGGGGGCGUAGACGGCUAGUCAAGUCAGCAGUGAAAGCCCAGGGCUCAAACUUGGGACUGCUUUUGAAACUGGGAAGCUAGAGUGCAGGAGAGGUAGGCGGAAUUCCUGGUGUAGCGGUGAAAUGCGUAGAUAUUAGGAGGAACACCGAUGGCGAAGGCAGCUUGCUGGACUGUAACUGACGUUGAGGCUCGAAAGCGUGGGGAGCAAACAGGAUUAGAUACCCCUGUAGUC